GUGUCAGCAGCCGCGGUAAUACGUAGGGUGCGAGCGUUAAUCGGAAUUACUGGGCGUAAAGCGUGCGCAGGCGGUCUUGUAAGACAGAUGUGAAAUCCCCGGGCUCAACCUGGGAACUGCAUUUGUGACUGCAAGGCUAGAGUGCGGCAGAGGGGGAUGGAAUUCCGCGUGUAGCAGUGAAAUGCGUAGAUAUGCGGAGGAACACCGAUGGCGAAGGCAAUCCCCUGGGCCUGCACUGACGCUCAUGCACGAAAGCGUGGGGAGCAAACAGGAUUAGAUACCCUGGUAGUCCACGCCCUAAACGAUGUCAACUGGUUGUUGGGUCUUCACUGACUCAGUAACGAAGCUAACGCGUGAAGUUGACCGCCUGGGGAGUACGGCCGCAAGGUUGAAACUUAAAUGAAUUGACGGGG
Molecule: ribosomal RNA, 413 nt
Filed under: uncultured prokaryote
Description: bacterial SSU rRNA
Rfam family: Bacterial small subunit ribosomal RNA
Source: RNAcentral